ACGCACGCUGGCGGCAUGCCUCACACAUGCCAGUCGCACGAGACCUUCGGGUCUAGUGGCGCACGGGUGCGUAACGCAUGGGAACCUGCCCUUAGGUUCGGAAUAACUCCCCGAAAGGGGUGCUAAUACCGGAUAAUGUCUUCGGACCAAAGAUUUAUCGCCUUUGGAUGGGCCCGCGUUGGAUUAGCUAGUUGGUAGGGUAAAAGCCUACCAAGGCGACGAUCCAUAGCUGGUCUGAGAGGAUGAUCAGCCACACUGGGACUGAGACACGGCCCAGACUCCUACGGGAGGCAGCAGUGGGGAAUAUUGGACAAUGGGCGAAAGCCUGAUCCAGCAAUGCCGCGUGAGUGAUGAAGGCCUUAGGGUUGUAAAGCUCUUUUACCCGGGAUGAUAAUGACAGUACCGGGAGAAUAAGCUCCGGCUAACUCCGUG
This 432-nucleotide ribosomal RNA is filed under the name uncultured bacterium. RNAcentral's name for it is "partial 16S ribosomal RNA". It matches the Rfam family "Bacterial small subunit ribosomal RNA", at positions 29 to 507 of the family's 1533-position model. The record is from RNAcentral.